UACGAAGGGUGCAAGCGUUACUCGGAAUUACUGGGCGUAAAGGGCGCGUAGGCGGCUCAUCAAGUCGGGCGUGAAAUCUCCCGGCUUAACCUGGGAACUGCGUCUGAUACUGGACGGCUUGAGUAUGGGAGAGGGAUGUAGAAUUCCAGGUGUAGCGGUGAAAUGCGUAGAUAUCUGGAGGAACACCGGUGGCGAAGGCGGCAUCCUGGACCGACACUGACGCUCAUGCACGAAAGCGUGGGGAGCAAACAGG
This 253-nucleotide ribosomal RNA is filed under the name uncultured bacterium. Its description in RNAcentral is "partial 16S ribosomal RNA". It matches the Rfam family "Bacterial small subunit ribosomal RNA", at positions 524 to 776 of the family's 1533-position model. The record is from RNAcentral.